Schistocerca piceifrons (Central American locust) is the source of this 2464-nucleotide long non-coding RNA. RefSeq lists it as uncharacterized. Lineage: Eukaryota; Metazoa; Arthropoda; Insecta; Orthoptera; Acrididae. The record is from RefSeq and is a predicted model, not a curated record. The transcript is spliced from 3 exons.
UUUUGUUUAUAAUGGUGCGCAAUAACGAUUGCAGAACGAAGCGAUAGCAGAAAAGUAAUAAAAUCUUUCACAAACAUCGUAAUAUGGAAUUGUGACAAAUCCAAACCGGCAUUGAUGUGCUUUAAAUAACAUUCUUUAAAUUAUGCGUGUGGCUGGUAUCUGUUUUAAAUAAUAAACCGUAUAAUUAACAGAGGCAUCCUCUAAGACUCGGUACCAUAAUGAGAUCGUUUACAUUUGAUUAUGCCACCCAUCUUCAACUUAGGAGCAUGGUGGAAACCUUCGCAAAUAAAGCAUCUACACAGCCCCACAGCGGUGAUAGCUAUAUGGAAAUCGCGAAUCAACUUGUGUGUUUCCUUUUGUUUCUUUAAAUACGACUGAUAUGUCAUCAACAGUUGUUUCUAGUGAAUGUAGUAAGGAAUUUUGCGUCUUUCAGAGUAAUCCACUCAAGAAAUUGACGUUGAAUACUACUAUAAAUUCCGGGGUUUUUCAUCUGCAUGUUACGUAGGUUAAAUGGAGAAAGUUAACAAUAAGUAUUUCUACAGAUUUCCAAGACAAACUAAAGAGUUGCAUCUGAUGUGGAGUAGUCCUUGUAAGCUGUGAAGGCAGAGGGAGUUUUGGCUAGUGGAGUUUCAAAAGCAGACUUAAGACUCAGAUAAUCGAAAAAGUCCAAGAUUCAUAGGAAUGCUUUAACAGGGCUACCAGAACUUAAAACAAAGCUACAUCAUUUUUGCCUUCCUUCUGUGACUCAUAUGAAACCUCUGUUGUGUGUUGCACCUUCCAAGCCAGGAUUGAGUCCUGCAGUGAUGAAUGUAAUAAAAGCAGAAGCCAAGGCAGUGCACAACAAUGUUAAAUAUUUUGCUUUGUUCCUUGAUGAAGUGUCUUUGGAGACAAUUUUUUAUUAUGAUGUGAAUAAGCAGCAAAUCAGUGGGUUUCACGAUAUACGAAGGGCAAAUAUAUGUGCAGACCAUGAUGUGUUGGUAGUCUGGUCAGAGGCAUAUGCAAAAUUUGGAGGCAGGUAGCCGCAUCUCUCUUCACUCAGAGCUCAGUUUCAGAUGCAGUUCCCUCCGUGUCUAAGUAUCUACAUUACCUGGGAGAGAACAUCCUGCAGACGUAGAUUGUAGGGAAUGCCUGAGUAGGCAUACUCUGUUUAAAACAGCGAUAACUUGAAGCAUAAGUAUUCAAAGUGAUUGUAAGACUGGCGCACUGAACUGCUGCAGAAACAAAGCGAUGUAUAGAUGUCAGAUGAUAAUCUUGUGUUCAUCAUCAAAAUGAAAGUUGUAACACACUCAGGAAAUGAGCACAGAAGAGCAGAUGUAGGAAUCAAGUGUCACUGCACUCGGUGAGGUUGUAAUGGAGUUGGUUUGCGGUAGGAUGAAACCCAGUGCUGGUCCAUGGGCCUACUGUUCUCAAAAAGUACGUUGCGGCUGCUGAGCUUAACUCUAAAUCUGAAGAACAGAAAGUGUCACAUGCCUUCACAUCAUGAGACAGUGAAAGAAGGUACAAAUGUAAUCCAGGACAUUAGCGCAAAAUGUGAUCACGAACUUUACGCCAUCACCUCUCAUCCCUUUGUCACCCAAAUACUGGCAUUGAAAAUUUUCCACCACCAGGAUGACUUGCAUCCAAGUUGAGAGCCACCACACAGAACUUUGUUAGCAACCUUGGUUAUGGAGAUGGGGCCAUCUCACCACAAUCGUAGAAAUUUCAAAGCAAUAGGCCUACUGCUGUGUUAACAUUGCCAAGUUCUGUAAACAUUCUCCUGUUUGUUUUUACCCCAAAUGUCAUAUAAGAGUGGGAUCCAACACACUCUCUACAUCAUUUGUCCACUAAAUUCAAAUGGUCGGUGGAGGAAAGAUGUUUGUUUAUGUUCAUCCAUAAAUAAACAUUUAUUUGCACUCAAUGUCAUCAAGAUUAAAGCUGAUAACUGAAGAUCUAGCUGAAGCCUCUUCAGGCUUCUUAUACUUAAAUGCCAAUACAUAUAUUCCCUAACGGUAUUUGUGGACAACAGAAACUUUAAUGAACUCGGCAAUUCACAACCACAGUACUACAGGUAGAAAUAAUUUACUUCUCCUGGUUUAAAAGGGAGUUUUAUAUUCUGGUGCAAACGAUUGUAACAGGUGGACUGUAGAAAAGAAACUAAACAUUCCCACCCAUCCAUAUAAACGGCAAGUUGACAUAUCCUGAGCAUGUGAAUUUGUUGAAAACAAGUGACCAGUCAGUGUGUAAAAAAGAGUCGAGCUAAGACACUAAAAGUAAGUUGUCAGUCAGUGUGUGAAAAUAAUCAAGCUGUAUACGGAAAAAAAGAGGAAGUAUCCAGUCAACGUGUGAAAGCAAACAAGCUACUGCAUGUUUGUUUUGCUUCACAAUUGCUAAAUAUGUAUGGGAAUUGGACAUACAUCCUAAUCUCCUUCUCCCUUACAUCUCUGUUUCCUCCUGUCGCCUACCAUCUCCUUCCCCCUCUCUCUGU